ACAGGUAGGUUGAAGUCAAAACACAGA
Molecule: non-coding RNA, 27 nt
Filed under: Cricetulus griseus (Chinese hamster)
Lineage: Eukaryota; Metazoa; Chordata; Mammalia; Rodentia; Cricetidae
Source: RNAcentral